CUAGCAAAACAGAUUAUCGCUACGCCUUAGGGUGGAGAGGAAAGUCCGGGCAACUUAAGCAGCAUACUUCCUAACGGGAAGGGUUUCCAUUAUAAUGAUAGAAAUACAGAAAGUGCCACAGAAAAUUAAACUACUCUGCUGCAAAGUAGAGAAAAGGUGAAAAGGCGGGGUAAGAGCCCACCGCCUAUUUAGCAAUAAAUAGGGCAGGGUAAACCUUAUGUGUUGCAAAGCCAAAUAGGCAAGAAAUAAAAGGGUGUUCGCUUAGCACCAACAACCUCAGGUUGUUUUUCUUGCGGGUAGGCUGCUACAUCUUAUUAGUGAUAAUAAGAGCAGAUAAAUGAUAGUCGCAAAUUUGGUCAAAAGCCAUUUUUGAACAGAACCCGGCUUAUAGUUUUGCUAAAGAU
Molecule: RNase P RNA, 404 nt
Filed under: Bacteroidetes bacterium B1(2017)
Lineage: Bacteria; Pseudomonadati; Bacteroidota
Description: Bacterial RNase P class A
Rfam family: Bacterial RNase P class A
About the family: Ribonuclease P (RNase P) is a ubiquitous endoribonuclease, found in archaea, bacteria and eukarya as well as chloroplasts and mitochondria. Its best characterised activity is the generation of mature 5'-ends of tRNAs by cleaving the 5'-leader elements of precursor-tRNAs.
Source: Rfam by way of RNAcentral